This 418-nucleotide ribosomal RNA is filed under the name Bacillus sp. Lgg10.13. RNAcentral's name for it is "bacterial SSU rRNA". It matches the Rfam family "Bacterial small subunit ribosomal RNA", at positions 43 to 451 of the family's 1533-position model. Lineage: Bacteria; Bacillati; Bacillota; Bacilli; Caryophanales; Bacillaceae. The record is from RNAcentral.
CGUGCCUAAUACAUGCAAGUCGAGCGGACAGAUGGGAGCUUGCUCCCUGAUGUUAGCGGCGGACGGGUGAGUAACACGUGGGUAACCUGCCUGUAAGACUGGGAUAACUCCGGGAAACCGGGGCUAAUACCGGAUGGUUGUUUGAACCGCAUGGUUCAAACAUAAAAGGUGGCUUCGGCUACCACUUACAGAUGGACCCGCGGCGCAUUAGCUAGUUGGUGAGGUAACGGCUCACCAAGGCAACGAUGCGUAGCCGACCUGAGAGGGUGAUCGGCCACACUGGGACUGAGACACGGCCCAGACUCCUACGGGAGGCAGCAGUAGGGAAUCUUCCGCAAUGGACGAAAGUCUGACGGAGCAACGCCGCGUGAGUGAUGAAGGUUUUCGGAUCGUAAAGCUCUGUUGUUAGGGAAGAACA